Molecule: long non-coding RNA, 839 nt
Filed under: Olea europaea subsp. europaea
Lineage: Eukaryota; Viridiplantae; Streptophyta; Magnoliopsida; Lamiales; Oleaceae
Source: RNAcentral
AAAUUUUCUUUUACAACACAUACCAUAAAAAAAUGUUGCCAAACUUCUUCUGUAGCAUCCACUUCGUUGGUAUUUGGAUCUCAUGUAACACCCGUAUGCCCUAAAAGGUCAAAGAACAAGCGAUAUACCUUAUGCAAACGAUUCCACUUACCCUUCAAUCUUUCUAUCCCGUAAUCUGAUUUUGUGGCAACAAUCAUCUCUUGAUUGAUCUUGUCCCAAUUGUCUUUUGUGAACGUAGAACAUUGCAACUUCCCUGGUUUCACAUUAUCGUAAAGUAUUCCAAUAAAAACGUGUUUGUUUUGAUCGGAUCAUGACAUUGUUUCCAUAUUCUUACCUCUAUGACCACCCAUGCUCUCUAAUGAAGAUGAAUAAAUAUUAAUCACUUAACCAAAAUAUAACCACAAAUUCCAUAUAGAAAAUCAAAUAAGUUGACAUCACAAGGAAAGAAAACUGAUUCAAAAUUGUCCCUUUCCCCAAUCUCUGCAAUCGUUUACUUCAAAACCAAACACGAUAAGUGACUAUCCUAGGUAUGAUGGUAUUCUCAUUUUUUUCUUCCCAGAAGUCCAGGAUCCGUUCAAAAUGCUCAAAACUCAUUAAUUGUUGCAACAAGUCAAUUAUCCACUGUGUAAAAUGACAAAAAAAUAAAUUUCGUACACUGAUGUAGAUAUAUAUAUGACCUCCGUCAUUGAUUGCCAAAUAUAACGUAUUAAAAUUCAUCAGCUCAUAUACUUUUAUUUCUUUUCCAGUAAAAUGAAAUUGGAGCACUUUUCGUUUUACUUUAGCCAUUUUUUUAUAAGAACUAGUAAGAAGGUCUCAUUGCCCCCCGGGACAUAUCGUAG